This is a long non-coding RNA of Etheostoma spectabile (orangethroat darter), 239 nucleotides long. RefSeq lists it as uncharacterized. The transcript is spliced from 2 exons. NCBI's taxonomy places the organism in Eukaryota, Metazoa, Chordata, Actinopteri, Perciformes, Percidae. The record is from RefSeq and is a predicted model, not a curated record.
GUACAAUACUGAAUCACUGUUUUAUGUUACAGAUGUAAAGCCUACCUCAGUUUUAUUGUAAUUUUUCUGGACAUCUUUUAAAAGCCUUUAUUCACCAGAAGUGUUCAUUGUGAUGUUAGAAUUAUGUUUACAUUGUAAUUAUUUAUAAUGUUUUCCAUGGUUGAGUUGACAUGCCUGCCUUCAUAACUGAGGGGCUUAUAAUCAGAGGAAGGUUAAGUUUAAAAUAAAAAUGUUUAAAU